CUGCGGAGGGAUCAUUACAGAGUUAUCUAACUCCCAAACCCAUGUGAACUUACCACUGUUUGCCUCGGCAGAUGUUGCUGGGCGAACCUACCCUGUAGCGAGCUACUCUGUAGCGACCUACCCGGGAACGGCUUACCCUGUAGCGCCUGCCGGUGGACUACUAAACUCUUGUUAUUUUUAAGUAAUCUGAGCGUCUUAUUUUAAUAAGUCAAAACUUUCAACAACGGAUCUCUUGGUUCUGGCAUCGAUGAAGAACGCAGCGAAAUGCGAUAAGUAAUGUGAAUUGCAGAAUUCAGUGAAUCAUCGAAUCUUUGAACGCACAUUGCGCCCAUUAGUAUUCUAGUGGGCAUGCCUGUUCGAGCGUCAUUUCAACCCUUAAGCCUAGCUUAGUAUUGGGAACUGGCUUUACUGCCAUUCCUCAAAUUCAACGGCGGAUUUAUAGCAAUCUCUGAACGUAGUAAUUUUUUUCUCGUUUUUGAAAUAGCUGUAAACCUCAGCCGCUAAACCCCCCAAUUUUUAAUGGUUGACCUCGGAUCAGGUAGGAAUACCCGC
This 552-nucleotide ribosomal RNA is filed under the name Pestalotiopsis sp. E-000535876. Its description in RNAcentral is "eukaryotic LSU rRNA". The stretch from base 213 to 366 matches the Rfam family "5.8S ribosomal RNA". Lineage: Eukaryota; Fungi; Ascomycota; Sordariomycetes; Amphisphaeriales; Sporocadaceae. The record is from RNAcentral.